UCGAGAAUCUUCGGCAAUGGGCGCAAGCCUGACCGAGCGACGCCGCGUGGAGGACGAAGGCCUUCGGGUUGUAAACUCCUGUCGAGGGGGAGGAAGGCGCAAGCUUGACCGAUCCCUGGAGGAAGCACGGGCUAAGUUCGUGCCAGCAGCCGCGGUAAGACGAACCGUGCGAACGUUAUUCGGAAUUACUGGGCUUAAAGCGCGUGUAGGCGGGCCGGCACGUCCGACGCUGAAAUCCCCCGGCUCAACCGGGGAAGUGGCGGGGAUACGACCGGCCUCGAGGGGGGUAGGGGGACCUGGAACUUCCGGUGGAGCGGUGAAAUGCGUUGAGAUCGGAAGGAACGCCCGUGGCGAAAGCGAGGUCCUGGACCCUUUCUGACGCUGAGACGCGAAAGCCAGGGGAGCGAACGG
RNAcentral lists this ribosomal RNA (411 nucleotides) under uncultured bacterium. RNAcentral describes it as "bacterial SSU rRNA". It matches the Rfam family "Bacterial small subunit ribosomal RNA", at positions 355 to 775 of the family's 1533-position model. The record is from RNAcentral.